GCAUGUUUUUGACAUUUGAAAAAUGGACUGCUCAGUAAUACUCACUUUAUUUUAUGUAAAUUUUUAAUUAACUACGUUAAAGUGUAGAUAAGAUGUUUACAGUAAGAGUGAGACCUAUCAGCUAGUUGUUAAGGUAAUGGCUUAACAAGGCUGUGACGGGUAACGGUAUUACUUUGUAAUAUUCCGGAGAAGGAGCCUGAGAGACGGCUACUAAGUCUAAGGAUUGCAGCAGAGGCGAAACUUGACCUAUGGAUUUUAUCUGAGGCAGUUAUGGGAAGUAAUAUUAUAUUGUUUCAUAUUUUAAAAGUAUAUGAGGUGAUUAAUUGGAGGGCAAAUCAAGUGCCAGCAGCCGCGGUAAUACUUGUUCCAAGAGUGUGUAUGAUGAUUGAUGCAGUUAAAAAGUCCGUAGUUUAUUUUUUUAAGAAGCAAUAUGAGGUGUACUGUAUAGUUGGGAGAAAGAUGAAAUGUGACGACCCUGACUGGACGAACAGAAGCGAAAGCUGUACACUUGUAUGUAUUUUUUGAACAAGGACGUAAGCUGGAGGAGCGAAGAUGAUUAGAUACCAUUGUAGUUCCAGCAGUAAACUAUGCCGACGAUGUGAUAUGAAAAUAUUAAUUUGUAUUACAUAAUAGAAAUUUGAGUUUUUUGGCUCUGGGGAUAGUAUGAUCGCAAGAUUGAAAAUUAAAGAAAUUGACGGAAGAAUACCACAAGGAGUGGAUUGUGCGGCUUAAUUUGACUCAACGC
Molecule: ribosomal RNA, 745 nt
Filed under: Vairimorpha ceranae
Lineage: Eukaryota; Fungi; Microsporidia; Nosematidae
Description: bacterial SSU rRNA
Rfam family: Microsporidia small subunit ribosomal RNA
Source: RNAcentral